UGCAAACUGCUUUCUCACCUACCACCUGAAAAGGUGUUUUGUCCCUCUUACCCAUGGUACUAUCCUUAGCUUCUUCAAUACGCUUCUUUGUUGCAUACUAAGGAUAUUUCAUAUACUCUGGGACUGAUGAGUAUUGCAACGCCUAGAAUCCAUUCCUCAUAUGUUGGAAUCUAUCUUCACUCAGAUCAUGAGGCUCGACGUUCUCUGACACAUGACAAAUGCUCUACGAUUCAUGUCAUGAUACUCUACGAUUCAGAUCGUAGUGCCUUAUCAUCUUGGUGCCUUGUCUGAUGCUAUCAGCCAAGAGCACUACAAUUCUUCUUAAACCUCUGCACACUACGAUCUUCACUUGCUCGUGUUGUUGACUCUAUGUUUCCGAGAGCACACUACGAUCGUUGACUUGGCUCGGCAAAUGUUGGGACUACUCUACGAUUUCCGAAGUGUCCCUUCAAGGUAGGCACAUUACGAUCUUCAGGCUCUACGUUUUUGCCUUGACUUCUAUAAUGUUGAUCAGAUGAUACACUACGAUUUCUUUGAAGCCUAUCUAUUACAUCUCAAGAUCAAC
This 565-nucleotide long non-coding RNA is filed under the name Panax ginseng (ginseng). Its description in RNAcentral is "long non-coding RNA (PGIN_LNC008196)". Lineage: Eukaryota; Viridiplantae; Streptophyta; Magnoliopsida; Apiales; Araliaceae. The record is from RNAcentral.